AGACCCGCCUUCGCCACUGGUCUUCCUUACGAUAUCUACGCAUUUCACCGCUACACCGUAAAUUCCAGUCUCCUCUCCAGUCCUCAAGCACGGCAGUAUCGAAUGCAGUUUCGGAGUUAAGCUCCAAGAUUUCACACCCGACUUACCGCGCCGCCUACGCACCCUUUACGCCCAAUGAAUCCGAACAACGCUUGAGACCUCUGUAUUACCGCGGCUGCUGGCACAGAGUUAGCCGUCUCUUCCUCUUCGGGUACUAUCAACACAAAUACAGUUAAUAUCUGUGCAUUGUUCCCCAAUGACAGGAGUUUACAAUCCGAAGACCUUCAUCCUCCACGCGGCGUCGCUCGAUCAGGGUUUCCCCCAUUGUCAAAAAUUCUCGACUGCUGCCACCCGUAGGUGUCUGGGCCGUGUCUCAGUCCCAGUGUGGCUGGUCGUCCUCUCAGACCAGCUACCCGUCAAAGCCUUGGUGAGCCGUAACCUCACCAACUAGCUGAUAGGCCGCGGGCCCCACAAGAAGCGUCAGGUUGCCCCGACUUUAAUUUCGAAAGGAUGUCCUCUCUAAUCACAUGCGGUAUUAAUUCGCCUUUCGGCGAGCUAUCCCCCACUUCCUGGCAGGUUGCCCACGUGUUAAGCACCCGUUCGCCACUAAACUAUUCCCGGUAUUGCUACUAGAAAUAGUCCCGUCCGACUUGCAUGUCUUAUCCACGCCGCCAGCGUUCGUUCUGAGCCAGGAUCAAACUCU
RNAcentral lists this ribosomal RNA (742 nucleotides) under uncultured bacterium. Its description in RNAcentral is "partial 16S ribosomal RNA". The record is from RNAcentral.